This 253-nucleotide ribosomal RNA is filed under the name uncultured bacterium. RNAcentral describes it as "partial 16S ribosomal RNA". It matches the Rfam family "Bacterial small subunit ribosomal RNA", at positions 524 to 776 of the family's 1533-position model. The record is from RNAcentral.
UACGUAGGGGGCAAGCGUUGUCCGGAAUCAUUGGGCGUAAAGAGCGUGUAGGCGGCCAGAUAAGUCCGCUGUGAAAUCUCGAGGCUCAACUUCGAGCUGUCGGUGGAAACUGUCUGGCUAGAGUCCGGAAGAGGAGAAUGGAAUUCCUGGUGUAGCGGUGAAAUGCGCAGAUAUCAGGAAGAACACCCGUGGCGAAGGCGGUCUCUGGGACGGUACUGACGCUGAGACGCGAAAGCGUGGGGGAGCGAACAGG